Molecule: small nucleolar RNA, 146 nt
Organism: Malania oleifera
Lineage: Eukaryota; Viridiplantae; Streptophyta; Magnoliopsida; Santalales; Ximeniaceae
Product: small nucleolar RNA snoR135
Exons: 1
Source: RefSeq, a predicted model, not a curated record
AAAGCAGGGAUUGUGUGUAUCGGCGUUGUGCGAUGAUCAAUGCACUGCUUUGCCGAAAGAGUUCCCUGCGAAAUCGAUCGGAGAAGAUGGGCAGUUGGGUUUCAUUCCAUUCUAUUGGAUCACCAACAAUCAUGUUCCCCACAUCU